Molecule: ribosomal RNA, 497 nt
Filed under: uncultured bacterium
Lineage: Bacteria
Description: partial 16S ribosomal RNA
Rfam family: Bacterial small subunit ribosomal RNA
Source: RNAcentral
GAUGAACGCUGGCGGCGUGCCUAAUACAUGCAAGUCGAGCGAACAGACGAGGAGCUUGCUCCUCUGACGUUAGCGGCGGACGGGUGAGUAACACGUGGAUAACCUACCUAUAAGACUGGGAUAACUUCGGGAAACCGGAGCUAAUACCGGAUAAUAUAUUUAACCGCAUGGUUCAAUAGUGAAAGACGGUUUUGCUGUCACUUAUAGAUGGAUCCGCGCCGCAUUAGCUAGUUGGUAAGGUAACGGCUUACCAAGGCAACGAUGCGUAGCCGACCUGAGAGGGUGAUCGGCCACACUGGAACUGAGACACGGUCCAGACUCCUACGGGAGGCAGCAGUAGGGAAUCUUCCGCAAUGGGUGAAAGCCUGACGGAGCAACGCCGCGUGAGUGAUGAAGGUCUUCGGAUCGUAAAACUCUGUUAUUAGGGAAGAACAAAUGUGUAAGUAACUAUGCACGUCUUGACGGUACCUAAUCAGAAAGCCACGGCUAACUACGUG